GUCGAGGAGCUGUUAAAACAAUACAUAACCUAUGGUUGUAGACAAAUAUGUUAGCAGAUGUUUGGACGUGGGUUCGACUCCCACCGGCUCCAUUA
Molecule: transfer-messenger RNA, 95 nt
Filed under: Staphylococcus epidermidis
Lineage: Bacteria; Bacillati; Bacillota; Bacilli; Caryophanales; Staphylococcaceae
Description: partial transfer-messenger RNA
Rfam family: transfer-messenger RNA
About the family: Bacterial tmRNA, also known as 10Sa RNA or SsrA, is named for its dual tRNA and mRNA-like properties. Its role is to liberate the mRNA from a stalled ribosome.
Source: RNAcentral